CUGCCUACGGGGCGCAGCAGUGGGGAAUAUUGGGCAAUGGGCGCAAGCCUGACCCAGCAAUGCCGCGUGAAGGAAGAAGGCUUUCGGGUUGUAAACUUCUUUGACAGGGGAAGAGCAGAAGACGGUACCCUGAAAACAAGCCACGGCUAACUACGUGCCAGCAGCCGCGGUAAUACGUAGGGGGCAAGCGUUAUCCGGAUUCACUGGGUGUAAAGGGAGCGUAGACGGCGAUGCAAGUCUGAAGUGAAAGGCGGGGGCCCAACCCCCGGACUGCUUUGGAAACUGUAUAGCUGGAGUGCAGGAGG
Molecule: ribosomal RNA, 305 nt
Filed under: uncultured bacterium
Lineage: Bacteria
Description: bacterial SSU rRNA
Rfam family: Bacterial small subunit ribosomal RNA
Source: RNAcentral